Molecule: transfer RNA, 73 nt
Filed under: Thermoleophilum album
Lineage: Bacteria; Bacillati; Actinomycetota; Thermoleophilia; Thermoleophilales; Thermoleophilaceae
Also listed under: 3 other names
Rfam family: tRNA
About the family: Transfer RNA (tRNA) molecules are approximately 80 nucleotides in length.
Source: Rfam by way of RNAcentral
GGGCCGCUAGCUCAAUUGGUAGAGCAACGGGCUUUUAACCCGGUGGUUCUGGGUUCGAGUCCCAGGCGGCCCA